This 449-nucleotide ribosomal RNA is filed under the name uncultured bacterium. Its description in RNAcentral is "bacterial SSU rRNA". It matches the Rfam family "Bacterial small subunit ribosomal RNA", at positions 328 to 793 of the family's 1533-position model. The record is from RNAcentral.
UUGCCAGACUCCUACGGGAGGCAGCAGUGGGGGAUAUUGCACAAUGGAGGGAACUCUGAUGCAGCGACGCCGCGUGAGGGAAGAAGGUUUUCGGAUUGUAAACCUCUGUCUUCGGUGACGAAACGAGACGGUAGCCGAGGAGGAAGCCACGGCUAACUACGUGCCAGCAGCCGCGGUAAUACGUAGGGAGCAAGCGUUAUCCGGAAUUAUUGGGUGUAAAGGGUGCGUAGACGGGACAGCAAGUUAGUUGUGAAAGCCCUCGGCUUAACUGAGGAACUGCAACUAAAACUAUUGUUCUUGAGUGCAGGAGAGGAAAGCGGAAUUCCUAGUGUAGCGGUGAAAUGCGUAGAUAUUAGGAGGAACACCAGUGGCGAAGGCGGCUUUCUGGACUGUAACUGACGUUGAGGCACGAAAGUGUGGGGAGCAAACAGGAUUAGAUACCCCAGUAG